This 481-nucleotide ribosomal RNA is filed under the name uncultured bacterium. Its description in RNAcentral is "bacterial SSU rRNA". It matches the Rfam family "Bacterial small subunit ribosomal RNA", at positions 501 to 985 of the family's 1533-position model. The record is from RNAcentral.
CUACGUGCCAGCAGCCGCGGUAAUACGGAAGGUCCGGGCGUUAUCCGGAUUUAUUGGGUUUAAAGGGAGCGUAGGCCGGAGAUUAAGUGUGUUGUGAAAUGUAGACGCUCAACGUCUGACUUGCAGCGCAUACUGGUUUCCUUGAGUACGCACAACGUUGGCGGAAUUCGUCGUGUAGCGGUGAAAUGCUUAGAUAUGACGAAGAACUCCGAUUGCGAAGGCAGCUGACGGGAGCGCAACUGACGCUUAAGCUCGAAGGUGCGGGUAUCGAACAGGAUUAGAUACCCUGGUAGUCCGCACAGUAAACGAUGGAUGCCCGCUGUUGGUACCUGGUAUCAGCGGCUAAGCGAAAGCAUUAAGCAUCCCACCUGGGGAGUACGCCGGCAACGGUGAAACUCAAAGGAAUUGACGGGGGCCCGCACAAGCGGAGGAACAUGUGGUUUAAUUCGAUGAUACGCGAGGAACCUUACCUGGGCUUGAA